GCGGGUGUAGUUCAGCGGUAGAACUUCAGCCUUCCGAGCAGCAUGGCGUGGAGAUGGUGAUCCCCAUCACCCGCU
Molecule: transfer RNA, 75 nt
Filed under: Panacagrimonas perspica
Lineage: Bacteria; Pseudomonadati; Pseudomonadota; Gammaproteobacteria; Nevskiales; Nevskiaceae
Rfam family: tRNA
About the family: Transfer RNA (tRNA) molecules are approximately 80 nucleotides in length.
Source: Rfam by way of RNAcentral